GCCAGCGUGGCGUAGUGGUUUGAAUGUUGGACUACGACUCUGGAGACCAGGGUUCGAUUCCCAACUGAGCCA
RNAcentral lists this transfer RNA (72 nucleotides) under Phrynosoma platyrhinos (Desert horned lizard). RNAcentral's name for it is "tRNA-OTHER". Lineage: Eukaryota; Metazoa; Chordata; Lepidosauria; Squamata; Phrynosomatidae. The record is from RNAcentral.